CCUACGGGUGGCAGCAGUGAGGAAUAUUGGUCAAUGGACGAGAGACUGAACCAGCCAAGUAGCGUGAAGGAUGACUGCCCUAUGGGUUGUAAACUUCUUUUAUAUGGGAAUAAAAUGUUCCACGUGUGGGAUUUUGUAUGUACCAUAUGAAUAAGGAUCGGCUAACUCCGUGCCAGCAGCCGCGGUAAUACGGAGGAUCCGAGCGUUAUCCGGAUUUAUUGGGUUUAAAGGGUGCGGAGGUGGAUUGUUAAGUCAGUUGUUAAAGUUUGCGGCUCAACCGUAACAUUGCAGUUGAAACUGGCAGUCUUGAGUUCGGGAGAGGUAGGCGGAAUUCGUGGUGUAGCGGUGAAAUGCAUAGAUAUCACGCAGAACUCCGAUUGCGAAGGCAGCACACUGG
RNAcentral lists this ribosomal RNA (397 nucleotides) under uncultured bacterium. Its description in RNAcentral is "partial 16S ribosomal RNA". It matches the Rfam family "Bacterial small subunit ribosomal RNA", at positions 338 to 732 of the family's 1533-position model. The record is from RNAcentral.